RNAcentral lists this non-coding RNA (29 nucleotides) under Bombyx mori (domestic silkworm). Lineage: Eukaryota; Metazoa; Arthropoda; Insecta; Lepidoptera; Bombycidae. The record is from RNAcentral.
AGACUCUCCCGGACGGUGGCAUGCCCGAC